Molecule: long non-coding RNA, 4972 nt
Organism: Fundulus heteroclitus (mummichog)
Lineage: Eukaryota; Metazoa; Chordata; Actinopteri; Cyprinodontiformes; Fundulidae
Exons: 2
Source: RefSeq, a predicted model, not a curated record
CUCCAGGGAUACAGGACCAGUCCUCUGGGAAUGUCUUUAUUCCGCCCCGGGCUGCGGGGAGACGCGGACCUUCAUUCAAUGGCAUUUGUAUUUCAAGCACAUCUGCGACCGCAGGAGAGCCGCCUGGCUGCUCUGAGCCCUGAUGAGGUGCUGCGUGUGCACAGUCUCGGCCAUGCUGGGCAUGCGGUGCCAUCGGAUGAAGCGAGGAAUGGGACUUAUGCACAAUAUACGGCGAUCGCCUGUUUCACUCUGGAAAUGGAAGCAAACUGCCAAAGUCCGGCAUCACUCCACCACGUCUAUCAUCACAUAGUGGAGUCUCAGAGCCUUGUGGUUGUUUUAAAGUGAGACCAGUUUUAGUUUUGUUCAGAUAGUGCACCUCUGAGUAAGAUCUGCUUGAUAAGGUGAAGCUAAAAGCCAGAUGGGAAGAGCCUCAGCAUAAAAUGUGAUAAAAGUGAUGUAAAUCUUUAGAAUGUAAGAUAGUAUCCAUUACCAAAAGCGUUUUGGUAAUUUUAAUCACUGUAAAGUUCUUAGGAUUGUGUGAAAGCCCACCUCUACCCCUGUGGAAAAUGUUAUUUCAUUAUUUUGACACCUUACAAUUAUAAUUAGGAGACAGCAAUGUCAAAAUACAGUUAUAGCCAGGAGACAUGUAGUAAAAUUUAAUUUGGUUUGAAAAUUUGGGGCAAAGUUAACUGUUACUCAAAAACAGUGGUGGCAAGCUUGAGUAAGUUAUAAUGUUUUGAGUAUAUUGUAACAAAUUUAUGUUCACUAUUUUCAUAUAAUGAUGUAUCUAUGCUAACUGCAUUCAGUCAUGUGGGUAACAAAAUCCAUAUAGUUAUGUGCAUCUCUAACAAGUCAUUAACACCUUGUAUAAUCACACUUAAACAAAUUUUAGUUUUUUAAGAGGGCAGGAAUGUGUAAAUAAAGUGGAUAAGUCACAGAUAGCUAGGAUCCUAGCUUGAGUACCUGUGAACUUGACUUUUUGUUUAAGUAUCUGGACUUUCAGCCUAAGCGUAUGUUUACUGUUGGCUUUUGUAGAUGUUACCUAUCGUAGCCUGAUUAGCUGUUAGCUUGAUUGAUAGCUAAGCUGUUAGUUUGUCUUGAAGCUUACAUUGUAGUAAACUAGACUGUCAACAUGAGUAGCUAUUAUCUUGAUUUUUAGAUUAAGUAGCUGUUAGCUGUAAGCAGUUAGCGUGACUUUCUGUUUGUAAUAGCAACUUGCGUCUUGGCUUGUUUAGAUUUUAGUUUGGUCCAAGCUUAAGGAGCUUUUCCCUUGACAUCCGUUUAGCAGUGAUUGGCUUCUGAGCCUUGGUAACUGUUGGCUAGAUUCUCCGCAUUUCUCAUGAAUGUCAGCUUGAGUAUCUCUUGAUUCUUAAGGCUGUUACAUACUCCUCGAGAAAUGAGAGAUUGGUUCUCACUCCCACAGCAAAAAUGGUCUCGCAGUGCUGCUCUGGGAGUUCUCAGGGCUUUUUUCUUCUCACCCUCCCCCCAUUUUGUUCCAUUGUGGAGUUGUCAAAUAUCCACAAUCUUAGCAACAUUGUGACGUACACUACAGCAGGUGGGUCUUUCUAGGACUCCGGGAGCUGAGCUUCUCGUGAAUUAGGAAUAGUCAGAGCCAAAACAAACUUUUUUCUUGUUGUUGCCACCCCGAUAACAAAAACUGAGUAUGUGACGAGCUUUCGAUUAAGCAGCUUCAACAUUCGGUCACAGCGGUUGUUUGCUCAAUUGAUAACUUUAACUGUUAGUUUGCGCUUGGAUUAGAUAGGUAAGUGCGUCCCAUUCCAGCUCAAUAUUGGAUACAUAUUUUUGACUCUAUAUAUGGGAUAUUUCGUUUUUCAAGGGACGGUUGACAACCUUAGCUAGGUAGCCAGACCCCCAGCCCAAGUACAUAAUUGAAUCUCAGCCUUAUUUUCUGUUAGCUUGAGGCUUGGGAAGCUGUUAGCCUGACUCUCAGCUUUUGCUGCUGUUCUCUUGAUUCCGAUCGAAUACUUAUUUGCUCGACUUCCAGUCUGUUAAAUUUACUCCGGUUAGAUGUUAACUUGCCUGAAGGGUUUUGCCUUAGCUUCGGUUGCAGCUAACUUGCUAUUGGCUUAAGUAGCAACUAGCUAGACUGUCAGCCAGAUCAAACGUUUAGCUUCAGUGUUAGCUUGAGUGGCUAUUCACCUGAUUCUUAGAUGCAAUGUAGAUGUAGCUUAUAGUCUGUGUUCAGUGAAAAAGCUGUUUGCUUGACCAACUGUACACUUGACUCCUCCGUUUGAGUUUCUUCCUAAAUUUCCCUGGACAGUUAGCUGCUUCAUUCAAGAAACUACUCCCUACUAUAAACCUUGAAAGAGUCCCCUUUAAAUAAUUUGCGUUAUUUUCUGUUAUUGGGAAAAAGACUUCAUUAUUCAAGAUAAAAAGUUACAAGGGAAAAAAAGGCAAACAGCAAAACAAAACUGUGGUUAACACUCAUGCCUCUGCCUUCAAGGAAUUUGAUUACCAUUAGCUCCUUAGGAAAGUGUAUUGUUUUUAUGGUAAAAUACACAUCAGUUUUUACUAAAUGUGUAUCGAACUGAAUUUAAAGAAGAAGAUAAAAUAUAUACAUCAUAAAGAUCUGCAUCACUAUCAGGAUAGAAAAAACAGGUUAGUGCCUUUGUAUCAUGCGUUACCAAAGCACUUGUAAGCUUUUGCAAAAACACAGCAUUGUACAGCAUCUUGCACAGAUUUAGUCAGAUGUGCACGUUCUGAGAAGUUACAUUUAUUUCUGAAGGCAUGUUGGUGCACAGUCCUCCAUAACGCUGUAUCUACAGUAAUACACCAACCUGAGGCAGUAUAAGCACACAGUUACAUAUAAAAAAAACAUACAAGCAGUCAAAAUGAUGCCAACGAUGAGACUGCAGGCUUUUGUACUUGCUGUACUAAGGAAGGAGGAGGGCACAUAAACUGUGAUCCAAUAUUCUCCAUCAUCACGACUUGUGUCCUACAUAAGCAACGUGUCACUUUCGAUUCAGAAAAAUUAGAUCAUGGAGAGUAAUCAGCGCACUCAGAUAGAAUUCAAAAUAACAUUCAUGCCGAAAUAAUUGAAUUAGUUGAACUCUACAGUCUCCCUCAGUGGUUCUUUAGUGAGAUGCCAUUGCAAUUAUGUGCCCGUCGUCUCAGCUCUAGGUUCCACAACGUGAGCCGCCUUUGUUCACUCGCUCAGAGAACCUGAUCCUCACUGACACGGCUCUACAUAUCAAUGUUCUGCUGGCAGUUUAAUGUGUCGUUCUCCUUUCUCAGUGAUGCCGCCCUGCAUCCAUUCAAUCUGCUUCAUGUGCCUGAAACUCGUACAUCCGUAUGGGGACACUCACAACAGUUACAUUUGUCAGUGGGAUGUAGACGCCAUUAAAGGACAGUGGUUGGCACUUAUAGUCAUACUGUACCUUCCUCCGGCCCCUGCUGUCUCAUUUCAGCAGGGACAAACACAGACAAACAGCAAACACACCCAGUGCCUCAUCACAGACUCACAGUGUGAUCGGCUGGUAAUGACAGAGAGGCUGUACCUCCAAGCGCUGAUUGCACUGGAGUACAGGAGCAAAUCUUGAUUGGCCAAGUAACGGACCUUGCUGCCAAGGCUGAAUUAUAGCUAAAAUAAAGCCACUCAAAAAAUAAAUAAAAAAAAAGAAAUCAGACUUGUACAGUACUGUGCAAAUUUUUUUUUAGACCUGAUUUAGUUAUUUGUUAGAUUCCAAGAAGCUAGACUUUCUUGUCAUUUAGUUGAGCAAUAGUUUUUAAGGUUUUACAAAAGUCUUUUAAAGUUCUUUUUUUAGAAUUUGCCUUAAGAAAUCUUGAGAAUUAUUGAUCAUAGUCCUUUAUCAACCAAAACCCCCCGGUAAUCUGAAUUUUCACAUCCUCUAGGCAUAUUUCACUACUCUCACCAACUCUUCUCAAAAGGCCUUUUCUAUUGACUUAAACAGAGCUUAAAUUAUAUUUUAUCUGGCAAGUGAUGUUCCUGCUAUUUUCAAAACAUAGGACCUCACGUGCUAUGAUAAAGAAACAUUUUGUUUUCCAGAUGCAUUUCAAUACUGCUCAGGCCUAUAGGGUCCUUUAAACUGAAUGAUCUUAUUCUGCUCAUUUAGAUGUCACUGAGCUUUUGAAAUGAACUAUAAUUAAUUAAUGUGUAGUCAUUUCACUUUUAGUUAUUAGUGUGUGAACCCCUGAAGGAAUAAGCAGCCCUAGCAGGACUAUUUUAAUCAACAGUACAGUCGUUCGUACUUCAGUGUCGCUCUAAUAUUAAAGGGUUAGGGUUAGGGUUAGGAAACUAAAAUGUGUGAAUACCUAUGCCAAAACCACAUAUUUUCCAAAGUAGUCUGACAGCAGGGCUUUUGUGGGCAGCUUCUGUGAAUAAGUUAUUGUGAAAGGGAGAGUCGUGGAUAACAAGACGAAACAGAACCACAGUACCAAGGGUUUCCAGAUCAAUUGUACACACUGGUUUUGAAAAAUAAUUGCUUUUGUUUACCAAAAAAUUUCUUUAUGGCAUUCAGUCUUUGUUUAAAGUUCCAGCAAAAGUUUGUUGCUCUCCAUGCCCACCUACGAGAGAAGACCCUGAACCAAAUUAAGCUAUUUCUUUGCGGUUUAUCUACGCCUGUUUUCUGGUGUUUUGAAAAUGCCAGACCCCACAUGCUUGUCUUCUUUGAAUCUUUCCUUUUUUGGCUUUUCCAAAACUUAACGAGACUGAUAACAUUUAAUUUAAUGUAGCCUUUGUCAAUUGCUACAACCUUGGCAUUAUUGGUCUUUAUUCACAGUAAUCAAGAAGGGUAAUGGGUUGAGAGAACAAUUAAGGUCACAAGUUUGGGAAUUACCCCACCUUCCACCCUUGCUCCCAAUUUUAAUUGAUUGCGAAAGACUCAGUUCUUGGAAACCGAUAAUGAAGAAAUUUUUGGUGCUUUAAACGUUUUGCACAGUACUGUACAUGGAUACUAAAAAGAAACAACUUAUAUUCAAAUAAGCGCUAUUC